GACGAACGCUGGCGGCGUGCCUAACACAUGCAAGUCGAGCGGAGUCGAUCGACGGAAGCCUUCGGGCGGAAGAUGGUUGACUUAGCGGCGGAUGGGUGAGUAACGCGUGGGCAACCUGCCUCGAAGACCGGGAUAACAGCCCGAAAGGGCUGCUAAUACCGGAUGUGGUCAAAGAUCCGCAUGGAUUUUGAUUAAAGGGGAAACCCGUUUCGAGAUGGGCCCGCGUCCUAUCAGCUAGUUGGUGAGGUAAAAGCUCACCAAGGCGACGACGGGUAGCCGGCCUGAGAGGGUGACCGGCCACACUGGAACUGAGACACGGUCCGGACUCCUACGGGGGGCAGCAGUGGGGAAUCUUCCACAAUGGGCGAAAGCCUGAUGGAGCGACGCCGCGUGAGCGAAGAAGGCCUUCGGGUUGUAAAGCUCUGUCUGGAGGGACGAAGGAAGUGACGGUACCUCCGGAGGAAGCCACGGCUAACUACGUG
This 482-nucleotide ribosomal RNA is filed under the name uncultured bacterium. RNAcentral's name for it is "bacterial SSU rRNA". It matches the Rfam family "Bacterial small subunit ribosomal RNA", at positions 28 to 507 of the family's 1533-position model. The record is from RNAcentral.